Molecule: ribosomal RNA, 253 nt
Filed under: uncultured bacterium
Lineage: Bacteria
Description: partial 16S ribosomal RNA
Rfam family: Bacterial small subunit ribosomal RNA
Source: RNAcentral
UACGGAGGGGGCUAGCGUUGCUCGGAAUUACUGGGCGUAAAGCGCACGUAGGCGGCUUCUUAAGUCAGGGGUGAAAUCCUGGAGCUCAACUCCAGAACUGCCUUUGAUACUGAGGAUCUUGAGUUCGGGAGAGGUGAGUGGAACUGCGAGUGUAGAGGUGAAAUUCGUAGAUAUUCGCAAGAACACCAGUGGCGAAGGCGGCUCACUGGCCCGAUACUGACGCUGAGGCACGAAAGCGUGGGGAGCAAACAGG